UUCUCCACCAGCUGGGAGACGCGGAAGGCGCCGAGCCGAGGGGGUCUCUCCUCCAGGGGUGGGGAGCAGCUCGGAGACUGGAGACAAGUGUUCGGCUCCUCCUUCGGCGGCCAGGGGGCUACACCAUCUCCUCGCACAAAGCCGAGGCGCCGGCCCGGAGUGUGGGAGAAGAGGGUGAGAGAAAGGCUGGGGAGGGGGCGGAGAGGACGAGGCGCCGAGCGGGUCCCCAGGCGGCCGCCGCCUCCCACCUCCUCGUGGUCCUGCUCCUCCUCCCGGAGCUUCCUCGGCCGCCCUCGGAGGGGUGCCCGCCGGGGCCGCGCGCCCGGCCGCCGCUCCACAGGCCCGCGCCCGCCGCGCCGCCGCCGAGGCCGUGUGCAACCGGCAGCUGCUGCAGCCGCGGGAGGAGAGUCGGGAUCGCCGCGAGGAGCCCGGGAGGAGGCGGGGCGCGCGGCGGAGGAACACGCAGGCGCCGCCCUCCUCGCCUCCUUCCCCCGGGGGCGAGGGGGCGGUGCGGGGGGAGGGGAGGGGAGGGAAGGGGAGGCGGGGGGCCGGGCGCGCUCCCCCGCGCCGGCGGCCGGGCCCCCGCCGGACUGCGGAGAGCUGACUGGGCGGGAGCGAGCGCGGCGGCGGCGGCGGCGGCGAAGAGAGGCUCUUUGUUGCCUCCCUACCCCGCCCCCUGCAACCCCCUGGGAUUCGGGCCGGCCCCCCCCCCCAAAACGUCCCGUCCGCUGUCGGCCGGGGUUCCUCGCCGGGGGGUUCCUUGCCCGGGGUUGUCCUUCACUGUCGGCCCCCUCCCCGUCGCCUCCCGCUCCCCAGAGGCUUGGGGAGCUCCGGGGCCUCCCCUACGGCCGCGGUGCGGAGACCUAGGCGCCGGGACCUCCUGGGCGCCGGACCCGCAGGCACCGGCGUGGGGAGCUGGGACGCGUGACUGACUGGGUACAGGGCCGGGCCAGGAGACUCCGGGUCGGCUCGCGGCCGAGUGCCUCGCGCGGGGCGAGUGCUCAGCCCGCCCUGUUGCGAUCUCAGGACUGGGACGAGGGAAUCGGGGGGCAUCCCGGUCAGCCCAACCGCCCGACCCCGCCGCGGCUGCGCCCAGCGAUUCCUGCGGAGUUGAGGAGGGGCAUAUAAAUGGAAAAUAUGGUCAUCAUUGUUCCCUUCGCUCCUUCCCGAGGAAUCCCAGCGUGCUGCGCCGAUGGAACAAGCUGAUGUGCACACUAGGUAUAGGGAUGACUUCAUCCCCAAACGAACGCAGCCGACUCUGGGGGAAACGCAGUCGCCGGAGACGCGCGCGGAACCGUGUGUUGCCGUAAGAGUGGAAGAAGAGAAACGCAGCCAGUGGAACCGCUUUCCAGCGUCAUUAGCAGAGGGAAUCCCGGGCAGGGGCGGGGAGAAAGA
This 1395-nucleotide long non-coding RNA is filed under the name Theropithecus gelada (gelada). Its description in RNAcentral is "lncRNA (ENSTGEG00000004286.1)". Lineage: Eukaryota; Metazoa; Chordata; Mammalia; Primates; Cercopithecidae. The record is from RNAcentral.